This 1254-nucleotide long non-coding RNA is filed under the name Ursus maritimus (polar bear). RNAcentral's name for it is "lncRNA (ENSUMAG00000020112.1)". Lineage: Eukaryota; Metazoa; Chordata; Mammalia; Carnivora; Ursidae. The record is from RNAcentral.
AUGAGCCUUUUUGACCCCCAUCUUCAUCAGAGUCUCACUCCAGCAGCUCUGGAAACUCGUGGACUCCUUCUCCCUUGGGUUUUGCGGAAUCCCUCUGUGUAUGAGAAACUGGCAGGAUGGGGUGGUGGGGCCUGGGGGCUAAGAGGCAGCAACCAGCUGGACAAGUGUGAUCCUUAUAAGGGGGGACUCGGUGGGGGGACGCUGAUGCACUCCAGCCCAGGUCAGGCAGGCUCCUCCUGCCAUGCAGGGCAUGUGGAGGCGUCUGGACAUUUGCCCACCAUCCCUGCCUCCCGGGUCUUCCCUUCUUCUUUGGAAAUCCUCAACUUCAGGCCCUGGGGAGGUCAAGUGGGUCCAUGCCCUGUCCAGCGGCUGCCUCCUGCCCCUACAACUCCCCACACUCAGGGUCCUUGGAGACGUUGGGGGCAGAGUCCCAGAGCCAUUCCUCACCCAGGUCCAGGGCCCAGGAUCCGGAGACUGGAGCUCCUGGCCAGUGUAACGCAGGACGUACGCGUGCGGGUGUAUGUGUGUGCAUAUUUUGCUGAUCUCUUUAGGAAAUGUGGGGAUAGGGUCAAAGGUAGUGUGUGGGCAAUGGGACAUCCAGUUCAGUAUCAUCCAGCAGCAAAAGGAAUCAGGAGGACUGGCUCCCCUGGGUGGGGUCUGGCAGAUCGGCUCCUUCCUGACUUCUCUGUCCUUGGUCGUCCACACUGUUGGUGGACUUUCGUGUAUGUCCCACACUUGGGCUCUUCCUGGCAGCGAGGUCACUGCAGACGGCCGUCCCAAGUUUGGUUUCUAAUCAGUGUUAAACAGGUUGAGACUCUCCCGUGUGUCCAUGUUUGGUUUGUGUGUGCGGGUGAGCACAUCGGCGUGUGCAUGCCGUGUUUCCCCGUUUUCUCUCCUCCCUCUGACAUGCCAUUCAGAACAAAUGUAGAGAUUCCUUGCCACUGCCUCCCCGCCUCCCCGGCCCUCUGCAGGAGAGACAGAAUAACCCAGCAUCCUCCCCAUCCCCUGGCUGUGUAUUUAUAUAGAUGGAAAUAUCCUUUCUAUUUUGUAUCAUCGUGCCUAUAAGCUCUGCCACCUUGUAUAAACCCUGACCUGUGCUACUUACCCGGAUAUGAAUGUAUUGUAUGCCCAUGCUGGCCCAGCCCUGUACAGCCGCUUUGUUUCCUCGCGACCCAUUGUAUGGCUUUAUAAAUGAUAAAGCGAAAGAAAAAAUCUGUGCCUUUCUCUAGCUGUGUUCUUUGGGAAGGGGUCUGC